CAUUGACAGUUCACCCACCCCACUGUCCGCCAGGGAAUUACGAGCAUUAGCUUAAAACCCAAAGGACUUGGCGGUGCUUCAAACCCACCUAGAGGAGCCUGUUCUAGAACCGAUGAUCCCCGUUCAACCUCACCCCUUCUAGCUUUUUCCGCCUAUAUACCACCGUCGCCAGUUUACCCUGUGAAGGUUUGAUAGUAAACACAAUCGGCACAGCCCAAGACGUCAGGUCGAGGUGUAGUGAAUGGAGGGGGAAGAAAUGGGCUACAUUUCCUAAUACUAGGACAUACGAAUGAUGUGCUGAAACGCACUUCUGAAGGAGGAUUUAGCAGUAAGUAGAGA
RNAcentral lists this ribosomal RNA (339 nucleotides) under Chaetodontoplus duboulayi (scribbled angelfish). RNAcentral's name for it is "partial 12S ribosomal RNA". It matches the Rfam family "Bacterial small subunit ribosomal RNA", at positions 807 to 1348 of the family's 1533-position model. Lineage: Eukaryota; Metazoa; Chordata; Actinopteri; Pomacanthidae. The record is from RNAcentral.